CCUUCCAUCCAAAAGAACUGUGCUUAAAUUACAGACUCCAGAUUUCCUGGUUUAUGUAAUAAUGCUAGCAGAGUGAAACCAUGGAAGAAGACGAAAAUGCUCUGUGCUGAAAAUGAAACGUGGUCGGACCUCUUUCUUAAUGUCCAGUGGCCUUUGUUUCAAGGUUCGGUGCGACAGUG
Neoarius graeffei (lesser salmon catfish) is the source of this 179-nucleotide small nucleolar RNA. RefSeq annotates it as small nucleolar RNA SNORA81. NCBI's taxonomy places the organism in Eukaryota, Metazoa, Chordata, Actinopteri, Siluriformes, Ariidae. The record is from RefSeq and is a predicted model, not a curated record. The transcript has a single exon.